AAUCCAUAGGUUAAUGAGGCGAACCGGGGGAACUGAAACAUCUAAGUACCCCGAGGAAAAGAAAUCAACCGAGAUUCCCCCAGUAGCGGCGAGCGAACGGGGAGGAGCCCAGAGCCUGAAUCAGCAUGUGUGUUAGUGGAAGCGUCUGGAAAGGCGCGCGAUACAGGGUGACAGCCCCGUACACAAAAGCGCAUGUGCUGUGAGCUCGAUGAGUAGGGCGGGACACGUGGUAUCCUGUCUGAAUAUGGGGGGACCAUCCUCCAAGGCUAAAUACUCCUGACUGACCGAUAGUGAACCAGUACCGUGAGGGAAAGGCGAAAAGAACCCCGGCGAGGGGAGUGAAACAGAACCUGAAACCGUGUACGUACAAGCAGUGGGAGCCCCACCACUAAGCCAGUGGUGAACUCCACAUACGCAUCCUUUGCUGAGGAGACGGUUAACGGAGCGAAAGCGACGUUCAACCUCAAAACAAGCAGAGGGGGCUUAGUGGUGGGGUGACUGCGUACCUUUUGUAUAAUGGGUCAGCGACUUAUAUUCUGUAGCAAGGUUAACCGAAUAGGGGAGCCGGAGGGAAACCGAGUCUUAAU
This 587-nucleotide ribosomal RNA is filed under the name Salmonella enterica subsp. enterica serovar Indiana. RNAcentral describes it as "partial 23S ribosomal RNA". It matches the Rfam family "Bacterial large subunit ribosomal RNA", at positions 161 to 688 of the family's 2925-position model. The record is from RNAcentral. Lineage: Bacteria; Pseudomonadati; Pseudomonadota; Gammaproteobacteria; Enterobacterales; Enterobacteriaceae.